UACGUAGGGGGCUAGCGUUGUCCGGAUUUAUUGGGCGUAAAGAGCUCGUAGGCGGCUUGUCGCGUCGUCCGUGAAAACCCACAGCUCAACUGUGGGCUUGCGGUCGAUACGGGCAGGCUAGAGUUCGGUAGGGGAGACUGGAAUUCCUGGUGUAGCGGUGAAAUGCGCAGAUAUCAGGAGGAACACCGGUGGCGAAGGCGGGUCUCUGGGCCGAUACUGACGCUGAGGAGCGAAAGCGUGGGGAGCGAACAGG
This 253-nucleotide ribosomal RNA is filed under the name uncultured bacterium. RNAcentral's name for it is "partial 16S ribosomal RNA". It matches the Rfam family "Bacterial small subunit ribosomal RNA", at positions 524 to 776 of the family's 1533-position model. The record is from RNAcentral.